Molecule: ribosomal RNA, 245 nt
Filed under: uncultured Gemmatimonas sp.
Lineage: Bacteria; Pseudomonadati; Gemmatimonadota; Gemmatimonadia; Gemmatimonadales; Gemmatimonadaceae
Description: partial 16S ribosomal RNA
Rfam family: Bacterial small subunit ribosomal RNA
Source: RNAcentral
UACGUAGGGGGCGAGCGUUGUCCGGAUUUACUGGGCGUAAAGAGCGCGUAGGCGGCUUGGAACGUUGGGGGUGAAAGGCGUGGGCUUAACUCACGUAGGUCUCUCAAGACGGCCAGGCUGUGAGGGCAGUAGAGGCAGGUGGAAUUCCGGGUGUAGUGGUGAAAUGCGUAGAGAUCCGGAGGAACACCGGUGGCGAAGGCGGCCUGCUGGGCUGACCCUGACGCUGAGGCGCGAAAGCGUGGGGA